Acanthopagrus latus (yellowfin seabream) is the source of this 4348-nucleotide long non-coding RNA. RefSeq lists it as uncharacterized. Lineage: Eukaryota; Metazoa; Chordata; Actinopteri; Spariformes; Sparidae. The record is from RefSeq and is a predicted model, not a curated record. The transcript is spliced from 3 exons.
CAUUUAACAUAAAAAAUAAAUAAAAAUCACAGGCGCGAUAUUAUUCAAAAGCAACGACGGGGCUCGAUUGUGUCGGUCGACGGGCACAUUUUGAUACCGGUGAAAUAUUGCUGCAUGUCCGUUUGAUUUUCUAUUUAUUUUUUGUGUGUGUGACGGCUGCGUGGGGAGCUGAGGAGCAGAGCGAUUGGCGCCACUUUCAAAUUCUCCACUGACACAGAAUGAGAGUCCGGCUUCAAAUACAUUUUACACACCACUUAAUUUCCUCCUUUUCAUAUUUACUGUAAAACGAGGAGUAACUUAACACAAUUUUCUGUUGGACAUUUUUUUUUCUGCGGAAGAGUUUAAUGUGUGACCCUCGGCAGGCCUGCAGAGUGUGUGCAGUGUGAGCCAGUAAGUCUGAUGGACUCAUGGUCUCAGUGUGUCCAGGGUACGCUCUAGCAGCACAUCAUGUUUUGCAGAUAUGUGCUGAUUCACUCCAAAUCAUUAUGUGCUGCCACCGUGAGCCCUGGGAUUCAGCUCAAACUUGACAUAUCUUACACUGCAGUAACUCUUGUUCCUACUUCUUGUCUUCUUAAAUUUCAGAGCUGAUUUAUGUGUUCUCUCUAUGUGUGGAUGUGUGUGGAUAUGUGUCUGCUCUGUGUAAGCAGCUUCAUCUGCAUUGCUAUGUGAUUAUUGUGUUGAAUAUUGUCCAAAUUCUUUUUGACAAGUUUGAUUAAUUUUCUUCUAAAUCCUUUGUAGAAAACAGCUUUCUGACCAUUGUAAGGCGUAGCAGCAGCAUCAAGCUGUGUAAAAUCAAUGUUGAGGGCAUCAAAAUUAAAUGACUCUCCACCCAUCUAAUCGUUGUAGUUGCUCCACAGUGGACGUCUUAAGCAAGUUUUGUCUUUGUCUUUUUCAAGUGUUUAUCCAUUAUCUUCUUUAGCAUUUCUUAAUUUUUGUACCCUGAUAUGGUAAUAAUAAUGGUCCAAAAUUAUGUUUAAUUGCACACUUUUUACUGGAAAAUGUAACAUUUUCUUGGGAUCUUAUUGUGUUAAUAUUUUGUCAAAAUACCAGUAAUCAUCUCUACAAUAUUAUUAUAUCGAAGUACACUGUAUUUGGUCAUAAAUAUCUGUCAUCUGUCAUCAAGCCCUAUUCCUAAUUUAUGAAGUGCUUUAGAGGAGAUUUCAAAAUGUUAAUUUAUGUGUAUUGUGUGUCAAAAUAUAACCUAAAAUAUCACAAUAUUAUUUUAAGGCUAUAUUUCCCAGCUCAACAAUACUUUUGGUAUCACCACUGAAUGUUUUUGUGUGUGUGUGUGUGUUUGUGUGUGUGUGUUGUAGUGUUAUAUGUUGUGUAUAUAUGAGCCAUGUCAGCCAGUGACAAACUGGUUAACAUGUGAUCCUAUGUCCCUCACAGUUCCUGUCAUGGUGACUAACACUGCCCUAAAAAGGCAUUCAGUCUGAGCCUUUUCUGCACUUUUUGCUCAGAUCACUCAUCGCUUCCAAGUUAGAAAUUAGUAUAAAGUACAUUUGAAAAUUAGUAAAUUUGUAUUGAAAGCGAAAUGUAUAUGAUUUAGCUCGAUUUUGUUAAUUUGGACAAAAUGAGGUUGAAUGAAAGACAUUGACUGAAUGACUUGUCACAGUGGGCAUUUUUGAAAACUCAUUAAAAAGGUUCAGCAUAAAACCAAACAACCUGAAGACAGGAUUUAAAGUGGUGUAAUGAGUGACUGGAGUAAAAUGCUGUUCAGCUGACUAACUGUACUUACCAUUCUCCUACUGUGUGUGGGUUAGGGUUACCUUCACAAGGGCUACAGAAGGGAGACAGUUUUACUUUUCAUUAACAGUCAUUAAAAAAAUUGCCACAAACAUUUUGGUAACAAAAUUAACCAAGGUCAGAGUUUAUUGAAAUAAUAAUUUGUUGAACAUGAACUGCAUCUUACUGUUAACGCUUCUUGUGAGCUACAACCAAGGCCACCAGGGGUCGUAUGGUAAAAAAACAAAAGGUCUUGAAAUCUGGGUGAAUGGAUUAGGAAACCGUAAACACGGAUUGAUGAACUAAGAGCAAGGUUCAGGGGAAAGCUUGAAGUAAAAAUGGUGGUACAUGUAUCAGGCAUUCAGAGAACAAGCAGUCACCUCACUGUAUGCAGCACGCAGAAGAGGACAAUUUUUGGAGUAUCCCGUUUGCUAAAGCCAAUAAAUUAAUCCAUCCAUAUCAGAAGUAUCAGAAGAAAUUAGUCAUUUGUGUUCUUGAACUGCUCACAUUUUGAUGAAUAAUCUUUGCAAAAACACGAAUAUCAAAUGGUAUUGUUAAUAUUUUAUGAUAUCAAAGCACAGCUGCCUAAAUUUGGGCCCAUAAGGUUUGAUUUGGGCUGCCAGAUGUUUGUAGUAUAAAAAGAAACACCAAUAAAAACAUUUUGAAAUGAAUCACAGGUUAUCACUGUUACUAUUAUUAUUAAAAAUUUAAAAAUGCUCUUUGACAGAAGUUAGGCAAUUAAAACCAUUUUUGGGAUCUUAAUAAUAUAAGUUUUUGCUUAUUGCCAUGGCUCAUAACUAAGCUUUGCAGUUUUGACCCUCCAAAGUUAAAAAGUUACCCUGUCAUCACCCUGUGUUAAAGAAAUGUCGAUCAUUACACAGCUUUGUUAUCUUUGACAUAAACUAUUAAAAUGGAGGAAAGCAUAUCCACAUACAGUAUGUCUGACUAAAACCCCAAAUAAACGUGAUAUUGGAUAAUUGUGUAGUUUGUUACAAAAUGAUAGAAGAGCAAGUUGCUGAUCCAAGAGAAAAUACAAUAAGAUUGUGUGAACGAUGAACGAUUCAGACAAUGAAGGAAACAAAAAAAAAGAGCUGCAACACCUGUCAACAUGUUCAAGUUCUGACCAAUUACUCUUCCGCAGUAACAACUACAUUAUUACAUGAGACCACACACAUCUGCAGCCUUCAUUUCGAUGUCAACCAUACACCUGUAAAGUUUAGUGACUGCAUCUUGCACAGUUUUAAAACUAUCCCAUAUAAACACCUGGCAAAGUGCUCAAAACGGAUUCUUUGGUAGUCCCCCCACCACGUUAUUGUGUCAUUGUGAAGCAAUGACAAGGUGUGACAAGCAACAAGGUGAAAAUGUUACCAGCUGUGCGGCUGGUAAUAACAGUGAGGACACUUCAUGAGGACAUGUUUACUGGUACCAAAUAACAAAAGAUGUCCAUGGUAACUUUGGCUGAUAAAAAUAGAGAUGUUUUUUUCCAUCACAUCAUUGCUUUAAUGCGUCUAGCUCCCAGUGACUGACCCCAAGUGUCCGAGUGAUGAUGAGCGUUAGCAGAGCGGUGUAAGAUGUUGACCGUCACCAUGAGUGAGUUUCUCUAAAUGGCAAGAGGAAAUCUGGUCCCUUCAUUUUUUACUGAGAUGGCAGAAAUACAACCUAUUUAAAAGUUUUAACAUACAAUCAUACAUCGCAGAAAUGGCACAUCCUAGCUAAAAUAAAUAAGAACACGAUAAUUAGAUAAUCAAAACCUCUGCAACCCUGAACAUUAUAGUUUAAGUGCACUUCAUGAGUCAAUGGAUUCAUUUAUUUUGUAUCUCUAAUCAGUUGAUUUAGAUUAUAGGGGCCAUGGUUGUAACUCAUGCGCCCUCACACACAUUUGUUGAAAUGUAUACCAGUGUCCCUGUAUUACACAUUUAUGUGUAAAAUGUAUACAUAUUUUAAUGUUUGAAUUAAAACUUCCUGGCCAUUAGCAAUCAGUUAGUUCCCACUCUCCUCUCUACGUCACCAUGCAGCAGUAAUCAUCCAACAUAGCAGCAAAUAGAAGUUCUGCUCUUUGGCUUGAGUGGGCAGGGAAACCAGAACAUUUCUUUUCUCUUACUGCAUGAACGGAGGGAGGAGAGACAUGGGUUACUGACCAAACACUCUCUAACAGUGAUUACUGUUGGAAUAUAGAGCUUGAGUUAUCACUUGUUAUGAUAAAAAUAAAUCACUUACAGCAACUUAAUUACUUAAUUCUUCCCUUCACUGUAUGCAUGAAUAUUUUUGGACCUGGCUCGUCAAAGGUCUUCUUAAAAGUGAUUUUGCCUUGUUGCUAUUUCAUUACUUGACCAAAAGAAAUUCCUAGUACAAACUGAGUAUUCACUAACCAACAGGUAGGUACACGCUACAAAGAUAUAAAGCUGUAGUGAAUGAACAGUCUGAUACUUUUGAUGUGUUGUCGUCACACUGAGCCUAUCUUCAACAACACAGUGGAAGUACGUUUUUGGAUACUGUUGAAUUUGUGUGUGUGCGUGUGUGUGUGUGUGUGUGUGUGUGUGUGUGUGUGUGUGUUGAGACAGUGUGUCAGGCUGUAGCAGCACAUCAUUACUGGUAGUUCACUCUGCAUUACCAGUAUGAUAUG